Ictalurus punctatus (channel catfish) is the source of this 835-nucleotide long non-coding RNA. The record is from Ensembl. NCBI's taxonomy places the organism in Eukaryota, Metazoa, Chordata, Actinopteri, Siluriformes, Ictaluridae.
CUCGGGUUUCACGCGGCGUUUUCUGGGCUGGUUUAUUGGGUCAAACGCGUGAGAAAUUGAAGCAGCAGCAGCAGCAGCGGCGGCGGCGGCGGCGGCAGCGGGGUCACGUUCAGGCACGAGGAAGAAAACAACACGAGCUCCAGUAGGUUUGACUCCUUCUCUCCUUCUCAUGGCUUUAAACACCCAGGAGUCCAGUGGAUGUCUGUCCGACAUGUGCUGAACACGGGCACCGGCCAGAUCCAGGAUUAAUAAUACAUGCUUUGCAGUAAUCGAGAAGAGAGAGCAGUGUGAUGUGGCCCCGACUCUCAUCCAGGAUCAUCUGUGAGAACCCCUGAAGAGGACGCAAAGGAAGGACACCACGUUUUGUGAGCAAACGAAUGUGGAGACAGGACGCCAAAAGUGAACUCUGCUCACGCUGAUGGAAACAAUGGAAUAAAAUUGGAAAAGCAGCAUGGACGUGGAAUAAAGGAUAUCUCAGAGGCAGGCCAAGGGCUUUGGAUGUUCUGCCAACUCUGAAAUCUGCCUCCUGUGGAUGUGGUGCUGAUAAUGCUCUAACCCAAUGCUCAGCAGAGGGCUUGUACAUCUCGAGGCGGACGGGACCGACCCGAAUCGGAGCCAAAUGGCUUUAAGUGCUGCCUCGGCGCAGCUUUUGCCAGCGGGGGAGGUUUUUAAGUGGACAGUUGGACGGUGGAGGAGCUAGCCGGUGACACCAGGAUGGAAAGAAUGCAUAGACAAUACAACAUUGAUUCCUUUCAGCUCCCCGUCACUGCUGCCAAACGAUCAGUGAGAUUUCACCUUGCGAAGCCCACUGACUGCAGCUUAGCGCGUGUGGGCG